CCUAGAUUGGAGGCCUCCUCCUGUGGUCGCCCUCAGGUCCCAAGGCCCCAUCUCAGCACCGAUGGAGGGUUAUUUGAUGUCACUCCUGAGCCGUCUCCCUGCGAGGAAAACACUGGAGACUGGCAUUUAAUGGCAGUUCAGGUCUCUAGCAGAGUUUCCAUUCGCUGCAUAAAGUUUGCCAAAAUCAACAUUUCCCUGUGACAUUAUGAAAAAAAUAAUGCAAGUAGCUUCUGUGAUCUCCUUUGGCUUUAGCCAAAUUACGGUCCUGGGCUGAAUUUUCAGUAGAGAAGACUCUUCUCCUCCCUUACUUUUGCCUCGAGCUUAGAUGCCUGGACUGAAGGCGCUAUUCUCCAAUCAUUUUUGACAGUGUGCCCCAGCCUGGUGUUUUUGAGAGUCACUGCUGCUUGGCAGUCAUCCAAGAACGAGAGAGCAAAAGUGGCAAUUCUUAAAGGAGAAAAAAAUGAUGAUUAUCACAGGUCAGACUGAUUCUUUGAGAGCUUGUUCAGAGAAAGAGCUGUGCUUUCCCUUACCUCCUCCAUACUUCCUUUGCAGCCACUUCUAAAAGGAUUUCUAAGUGAGUUAGAGGAUCAGAAGAGCGUAGGAGAACAACUCUCACUUUUAUGCCUUCGGUGCCCCACGAGGGGAAGGUGUGAUGAGCCUUGAUGGAUUCUGGUUCUCAGGAGCAUUUUGAACAAGUACCCGAGACCCUGGAUUGCAGCUGGAUGAAGCCAUCGCAGGCAAGCACGGUUGCUAGGUUCACAGGAUGGCCAGGAGGAGCAGCCAAACUUCUGUGACUGGAGCAGAAUCAAUACACUGAAUGCAUGAUUUUCAAAAUCUUUCUUGAGGUCUGAGCACCAGAAAUGUGGAAGAGCACCAUCCUGCGGCUAAACACGACUUGUCCCUCUUUAGCCAAGGACCGCACUUUGCACUUUUAAUGACAGUGUCGCCCUGGAAGCUCACACCUGGGGGACCAGCAAAAUCCUCCUCUCCCUCAACUCUUUCACAGCAUCUCUGCUUCCCCGUCAAGGGCACCACCACCACCACCAUGUAAAUACAGCCUGCACUCAGAGCUGGCUUGAGGCUUUCAGCUAACUCGAAUUUAUGGCAUUAGU
Molecule: long non-coding RNA, 1112 nt
Filed under: Apteryx owenii (little spotted kiwi)
Lineage: Eukaryota; Metazoa; Chordata; Aves; Apterygiformes; Apterygidae
Description: lncRNA (ENSAOWG00000012325.1)
Source: RNAcentral